RNAcentral lists this unclassified non-coding RNA (329 nucleotides) under soil metagenome. RNAcentral's name for it is "partial contains 5.8S ribosomal RNA, internal transcribed spacer 2, and large subunit ribosomal RNA". The stretch from base 1 to 120 matches the Rfam family "5.8S ribosomal RNA", at positions 35 to 154 of the family's 154-position model. The record is from RNAcentral.
GAUGAAGAACGUAGCGAAAUGCGAUAAGUAAUGUGAGUUGCAGAAUUCAGUGAAUCAUCGAAUCUUUGAACGCACAUUGCGCCCCCUGGUAUUCCGGGGGGCAUGCCUGUCCGAGCGUCAUUACAACCCUCAAGCUCAGCUUGGUGUUGGGCCCCGCCGCCCCGGCGGGCCCUAAAGUCAGUGGCGGUGCCGUCCGGCUCCGAGCGUAGUAAUUCUUCUCGCUCUGGAGGUCCGGUCGUGUGCUCGCCAGCAACCCCCAAUUUUUUUCAGGUUGACCUCGGAUCAGGUAGGGAUACCCGCUGAACUUAAGCAUAUCAAUAAGCGGAGGA